GAUGAAGAACGCAGCGAAAUGCGAUACGUAAUGUGAAUUGCAGAAUUCAGUGAAUCAUCGAGUCUUUGAACGCACAUUGCGCCCCCUGGUAUUCCGGGGGGCAUGCCUGUCCGAGCGUCAUUGCUGCCCUCAAGCCCGGCUUGUGUGUUGGGUCUCGUCCCCCUUCCCGGGGGGACGGGCCCGAAAGGCAGCGGCGGCACCGCGUCCGGUCCUCGAGCGUAUGGGGCUUUGUCACCCGCUCUGUAGGCCCGGCCGGCGCUUGCCGAUCAACCAAAACUUUUUUCCAGGUUGACCUCGGAUUAGGUAGGGAUACCCGCUGAACUUAAGCAUAUCAAUAAGCGGAGG
Molecule: unclassified non-coding RNA, 345 nt
Filed under: soil metagenome
Description: partial contains 5.8S ribosomal RNA, internal transcribed spacer 2, and large subunit ribosomal RNA
Rfam family: 5.8S ribosomal RNA (bases 1-120)
Source: RNAcentral